UACGGUUAAAGUAGUAAGGGCGCAGGGUGGAUGCCUUGGCACUAAGAGCCGAUGAAAGACGUGAUAAGCUGCGAAAAGCUUCGGGGAGGAGCACAUAUCCAAUGAUCCGGAGAUAUCUGAAUGGGGAAACCCGGCAGAGGAAACCUCUGUCAGCGUGCAGUGAAUACAUAGCUGUACGUGGGGAACCCGGGGAACUGAAACAUCUAAGUACCCGGAGGAAGAGAAAGAAAAUUUAUCGAUUUCCAAAGUAGCGGCGAGCGAAAUGGAAAGAGCCCAAACCGUGAUGCGUGCAUCGCGGGGUUCGGACUGCGUUGUGGCAGACGUAAGAUAGGAGAACGGACUGGGAAGUCCGGCCGGAGAGAGUGAAAGCCUCGUAUCCGAAAUCCCAAGUCGCCUAGCAGGAUCCAGAGUAGGACGAGACACGAGAAACCUUGUCUGAACGAGCGGGGACCACCCCGUAAGGCUAAAUACUUCUUAGUGACCGAUAGCGCAUAGUACUGUGAAGGAAAGGUGAAAAGUACCCCGGGAGGGGAGUGAAAGAGAACCUGAAACCCUGUGUCUACAAGCUGUGGGACCUCUUUAUAUGAGGGACUGCGUACUUUUUGUAGAACGGUCCGGCGAGUUGUGCGUACUGGCGAGGUUAAGGACUUAAGGUCUGGAGCCGAAGUGAAAGCAAGCGUUAAUAGCGCGUCAAGUCAGUGAGUGCAGACCCGAAACCGGGUGACCUAUCCAUGUCCAGGUUGAAGCUUCCGUAAGAGGAAGUGGAGGACCGAACCCACAUCCGUUGAAAAGGGUGGGGAUGAGGUGUGGAUAGCGGAGAAAUUCCAAUCGAACCCGGAGAUAGCUGGUUCUCCUCGAAAUAGCUUUAGGGCUAGCCUCAUGAGAGUCUUAUGGAGGUAGAGCACUGAAUUGCCUAGGGGGCGUCAAAGCUUACCAAAGCAUAUCAAACUCCGAAUGCCAUCAAGAUGAUUCAUGGGAGUCAGACCAUACGAGAUAAGUUGGAUGGUCAAAAGGGAAAGAGCCCAGACCUACAGCUAAGGUCCCAAAGUACGUGUUAAGUGGAAAAGGAUGUGGGGAUUCUAAGACAACUAGGACGUUGGCUUAGAAGCAGCCAUUCAUUGAAAGAGUGCGUAAUAGCUCACUAGUCGAGAGUCCCUGCGCCGAAAAUGUCCGGGGCUGAAACACGACACCGAAGCUUAGGAAUGUGUAAACAUUGGUAGAGGAGCAUUGCUAGCGGGAUGAAGCCAUACCGUAAGGAGUGGUGGACUGCUAGGAAGAGAGAAUGCCGGAAUGAGUAGCGAGAUGAAGGUGAGAAUCCUUCAGGCCGAAUAUCUAAGGUUUCCAGAGUAAAGCUGAUCUGCUCUGGGUAAGUCGGGACCUAAGGCGAGGUCGAAAGACGUAGUCGAUGGAUAACAGGUUGAAAUUCCUGUACCGCAUAUAAACAGAACUGUGGGGACACAGACAGGGAAUGGAAUCCGGGAAUGGAUAUCCCGGUGCAAGCGAGGUAGGAGUGCUGUUGGCAAAUCCGCAGCACGAUCUGAAGACGUGACGCGUACCGAACAUAAGUAGGGAAGUCCAGGCCCCUGGCUGUCAAGAAAAGCCGCUAUUGUUUUAUAUGUGCCCGUACCGCAAACCGACACAGGUGGAUGAGGAGAGAAUCCUAAGGCCGACGGGAGAAGUAUUGUUAAGGAACUCGGCAAAAUGACUCCGUAACUUCGGGAGAAGGAGUGCCAUGAGAGUGGCCGCAGAGAAAUGGCCCAAGCAACUGUUUAGCAAAAACACAGGUCUAUGCAAAACCGCAAGGUGAAGUAUAUGGGCUGACGCCUGCCCGGUGCUGGAAGGUUAAGGGGAGAGGUUAGCGCAAGCGAAGCUUUGAACUUAAGCCCCAGUAAACGGCGGCCGUAACUAUAACGGUCCUAAGGUAGCGAAAUUCCUUGUCGGGUAAGUUCCGACCCGCACGAAAGGCGUAAUGAUUUGGGCACUGUCUCAACGAUACACCCGGUGAAAUUGAAAUACCAGUGAAGAUGCUGGUUACCUGCGCCAGGACGGAAAGACCCCAUGGAGCUUUACUCCAGUUUGAUACUGGGAUUCGGCAUGGUAUG
RNAcentral lists this ribosomal RNA (2102 nucleotides) under Anaerostipes hadrus. Its description in RNAcentral is "partial 23S ribosomal RNA". It matches the Rfam family "Bacterial large subunit ribosomal RNA", at positions 1 to 2136 of the family's 2925-position model. Lineage: Bacteria; Bacillati; Bacillota; Clostridia; Lachnospirales; Lachnospiraceae. The record is from RNAcentral.